CAGCCGCCGCGGGAAUACGUAGGUCCCGAGCGUUGUCCGGAUUUAUUGGGCGUAAAGCGAGCGCAGGCGGUUAGAUAAGUCUGAAGUUAAAGGCUGUGGCUUAACCAUAGUAUGCUUUGGAAACUGUUUAACUUGAGUGCAGAAGGGGAGAGUGGAAUUCCAUGUGUAGCGGUGAAAUGCGUAGAUAUAUGGAGGAACACCGGUGGCGAAAGCGGCUCUCUGGUCUGUAACUGACGCUAAGGCUCGAAAGCGUGGGGAGCAAACAGGAUUAGAUACCCCUGUAGUCCCUGUCUCUUAUACA
RNAcentral lists this ribosomal RNA (301 nucleotides) under uncultured bacterium. RNAcentral describes it as "partial 16S ribosomal RNA". It matches the Rfam family "Bacterial small subunit ribosomal RNA", at positions 509 to 808 of the family's 1533-position model. The record is from RNAcentral.